This 524-nucleotide ribosomal RNA is filed under the name uncultured bacterium. RNAcentral describes it as "bacterial LSU rRNA". It matches the Rfam family "Bacterial large subunit ribosomal RNA", at positions 657 to 1181 of the family's 2925-position model. The record is from RNAcentral.
CGUAGGGAGGCGUAGCGAAGCGAGUCUGAUAAGGGCAACAUAGUUGCUGGGCGUAGACCGAAACCAAGUGAUCUAUCCAUGGCCAGGAUGAAGGUGCGGUAACACGCACUGGAGGUCCGAACCACUAAUUGAAAAUUAGGGGAUGAGCUGUGGAUAGGGGUGAAAGGCUAAACAAACUUGGAAAUAGCUGGUUCUCCCCGAAAACUAUUUAGGUAGUGCCUCGUGCGGACACUUCCGGGGGUAGAGCACUGUAAUCGUUGGGGGGGUCGAUUGCGAUCUACCCCGCGAUAGCAAACUCCGAAUACCGGAAAGUGAUACACGGGAGACAGACGGUGGGUGCUAACGUCCAUCGUCAAGAGGGAAACAACCCAGACCGCCAGCUAAGGUCCCAAAAUCCAUGGCUAAGUGGAAAACGAGGUGGGAAGGCAUAGACAGCUAGGAGGUUGGCUUAGAAGCAGCCACCCUUUAAAGAAAGCGUAAUAGCUCACUAGUCGAGUCGUCCUGCGCGGAAGAUGUAACGGGGC